ACAGGCUUGAGCCACUGUGCCCGGCCAAAACCAAAAUUUUAAAUAGGUUUAAUUAUAAAGUGAAGGACCAGUUGGAUCAUGAACUCCUAGAAACUCAGCCAAGGAUACUUGACUUUAUCUGAUAUAGGCAGGCAGUGGUUAAAAUAAAAAAGGAUGGUGGUGAUUGGAAGAGCAGGACUGAAGUUUUCAUUCCUCUACCUACUGGGGCCUUGACCAAGUCUUAAAGCUUUCUGGGUCUGUAGCUGAAACUGUAAAAUGGGGAAAAGGCUGCCUUUUCUGCCACAUGAAGUAGCUGGCUGGUGAAAUGUCAUGCUACAAUGUGUUUCAUUAACUGUUGGAGAUUAUCACAUCAAAUUGAGCACAUUUGGAUCUUUUACAUUUGAUGCUCGUUUGAUUUUGUACCAGACCUGUGUUCAGGGUGAUGGCCUGUUGGGGGUGGGAGGGGAUGGUGGGCAGGAGUCUGAUGUGUAACGGACAGGUGUUCCUUGAGUGACUACAGACUUCUGAAGGGGGUGUUUAAUUGAAAUCUAGCGGCUUGUCUCUCUGCCAUCAGCAUUUCGGAGGGUGGGUGGAAAAAGCUCUCUGUAACUGAGAGCCCUCCUGCUGCUGGUUUCAGGUUCCCACCCAACUGAUUGCAGUCUUGACCUUGACAUCAGCUGCCUGGGCUUUCUACUUGGCUGCAAGGGUUCUUCAGAAAGCACCUAGUUCCUUUUGGUCUUUAUCUGCACUUUAGGUCUCCAUAGCUUGUGACACAGAAAAAGCCUUCCUCUAAUGCUCAAAAAGGCUGCUAACCAGCAGGAACGUCCUAAACCAAGAGUGGUGACCUCUCUCUAGACAGAAUAACCAUCUAGUCCCUAAUGGGACAGAAAACUAGGGUUUGAGUUAAGGCGUGACACAGGAGUGACGGGUGUAAGGUGGACAGCCCAGACCCAGAAGGGGUAUGUGUGGAGGCAGCAGCCAUUCUUGUGGUGCAGUUACUUACUGCUUGUGUGGCUUCACGGCAGCAGAUAAUUUGUGGAAAUAAACAUUUUCUUUUUUUUUUUCUGUCCCUUAUAGGCUACUUGACCCUGGAUAGUUUCUCUUUAAACCUUUGUCUUUCCCCAUUUUGUUUAGUAGUGAUAAAAGAUGGGUUUAAAAUGUACAGAAAUGGAAAAAAAUUAGAGAAAAUGUGAGGAUUUUAUAACUGAUACAUGUUCUUAAUCUUAUUUGAAUAAGCAGUAUUCACCAGCAUUUUUCUUCUGAAAUCACCACGUUUCUUCUCUUUUGAGGCACCACCUGGCAGUGCCAUUUAAACCUGUAUCUGCUGUGGUCCCAGUUACUCAGGAGGCUGAGUCAGGAAGACUGCUUGAGCCCACAAGGUUGAGGCUGCAGUGCACUCCAGCGUUGGUGACAGGGCAAGGCUCUAGCUGGCUGCCAGUGAAUUCUGUUGUGCAUCUGACUUUGGACCUCAGAAUCCUCACCUGGAACAUGAGAGGACAGUACCCAAAAUCUUGCUGACUGAGCACAGAGCAAGCCUGGGACAUUGCUACCAUCUUUGGGAGUCAGGCCUCACUUACACAGAGCGUUCUGAAUCUCUGACUGUAAUGCCUGUCUCUGGGCUGCUCAACAGAGCUGAGUAGCUGGGAAGGCUGAUGGCUCAACUCAACUGCCAAGUUCCUUCCAGGCACGCUCACCCAAAGGAAAAUGGAGUGAAGAAAUCACCAGCA
Molecule: non-coding RNA, 1706 nt
Organism: Saimiri boliviensis boliviensis (Bolivian squirrel monkey)
Lineage: Eukaryota; Metazoa; Chordata; Mammalia; Primates; Cebidae
Source: RefSeq, a predicted model, not a curated record